RNAcentral lists this long non-coding RNA (1195 nucleotides) under Betta splendens (Siamese fighting fish). RNAcentral's name for it is "lncRNA (ENSBSLG00000016236.1)". Lineage: Eukaryota; Metazoa; Chordata; Actinopteri; Anabantiformes; Osphronemidae. The record is from RNAcentral.
GGGUGGGAGUGGAGGGGCAACAGAUGGGAGGAAUGACACAUGAGGUAAUAACCUUGCUCAAACGCGUUUGGCUCUUUGGAGCCGACAGAACACUGAUUAUGAUUAUGCAAAGACGACAAUGGACAGAUUUCCUCAUAAUCAAAUUUAAAUUCAGCAUUCCAAAUAAAUGUUUUUGAGCAUUUAGACAUUUUCAGUUUCGUGAUAUGUGCUAUGUGGGCCUCCCGUGCUACUAGUGUUAUUAGCUCGUCUAAAGUUUAUUACUCUGUCCUUUUUAUCGCUCUGCAAAUGCCCGCUCGCUCCGUGCUGCCUGACUGUCAGACGUGGCGUGAUCUAGAUACAGGCAGAUUGAUAUUGACAGACAACAGGACGAGUGCAGUGUGAGGAAGCAGCGCGGGCAGAUACAUCAUGGUAAAUGUCACCCUUAAUUGGAUGCCUAUCGCUUAAAUAGCGCCAGUCAAGACUAAAUAAAUAAGCCCAACUCCCGACCACAGGAUGUGGAGCUAACGUGGACCUGAGGGCUAAUUAUUUCAGUGGUCUCUGGUAUCAACAGCUGUGGAGGAGGACAAAUAGACUUGAGACAAAUGAAGGACAGUCUAGUUCUUUUUUGACGUAUGCGAGUCACAUCCAGUUCGCUGAUUAGGUUUCAAACAAUGCAGAACUGCGGCGACAGUGCAUUCAGAAGUUAUUUUGUUGUCAUUCUGAUUUUGAACAACUGCUUUUAAUUACAUCAAUCAGCUAAUGUUAGCAUGCUGACAUAAUGUCCUGUUCUAGGGCGGUGCACUGGACGAAGAUCACACCUGCUGCACCGCUGGCACGCUGUAAUCAGGGCGCGUCUGGUGGCAAACAAAAUCAGGCCCAGCACUGGUCAUUAGCAGGGUUGAUGAAUAGGCAUCAACCCAGAUCACAUGUCAUGUAACUGGAGAUGUCCUGUUGCCGCUUGGAGUCUCCCGGCAGUAAUGGGCGUGUGCAGGUGUGAAGGGACCCCACGAUUCAGGGUCAGGAGGUCAGUGACGUUGCAGGCAGGCGAACACCGGAUGGAUGUGACUGCUUCAUGGCGACAGAGGGACAUAAUACAACCCGGGAAAGAUGGCAGAUGAGGAUCAGGAAGGAACUCAUGAGACUGAUAAAACCAUCCAAACAGGAGGAAGAGGAAGUUUAUGACUGCAGAAUAGAAUAAAACUAAACAGUCUUACCA